Molecule: ribosomal RNA, 195 nt
Filed under: uncultured bacterium
Lineage: Bacteria
Description: partial 16S ribosomal RNA
Rfam family: Bacterial small subunit ribosomal RNA
Source: RNAcentral
AUUCCUACGGGAGGCAGCAGUGAGGAAUAUUGGUCAAUGGAGGCAACUCUGAACCAGCCACGUCGCGUGAAGGAUGACGGCCCUACGGGUUGUAAACUUCUUUUGUAAGGGAAUAAAGUUUAGUACGUGUACUAUUUUGCAUGUACCUUACGAAUAAGGAUCGGCUAACUCCGUGCCAGCAGCCGCGGUAAUAAU